UUUUAGGGCUGUUUGCAGGCUAGAAAAAAGAGAAGGUUGAGCCUCUGAACAAAGAACAAGGGCAUUACACAGUUAAACCCUUUGAAGAGGAAUUCAUCAUCUCAGGCAAGCAUGAACAAACCUUUGAUCACCCAACCUUGAUGAGCUGGAAGGGGUAUCUGUUGAGUCUCCUCUUGGAUUUCAAAUCUCCCUGAUUUUUUGGUUUGAGAUCCAUACUAUAUUCAAAUGACCUGACUUCAUGCUCAAGGGGGAUUAAAGUUCUACUUUAAACCUUUAAGAGGAAAUCUCUGAAGAAAUCGUGGAUGGAAAUCCUGGCCAGUUACAUUCACUGAACCUUGAAACAAUUGUUACAAGAAACUCAACACGCCUGACUCAGGGUUACUGUUCAUUCUUCUGGAAGCUGCAGAGAAAGGGAACCUGGAAACCUGAUGCAAAUAAUCCACCAAGGUCAAUGUAUAUGAAGACUUCAAGAUGGCUUGCCAAACGUAUCCGGUACUCACCUCCCCCAUAAAGAAGAACCAAAAGAAAUCACACUUCCAAUAGAGCACAUAAGAGAGAAUGCUGAAAUUCAGUAGAGAAAUCACAGCUACAGGAGAGCCCCUCAACCUACAUGGGCCCUGAGACUAACGUAGAGAGCUGCCUGGAGACUGUGUGUUGGCAACCCAUGUAGCCUCCAGUCCUAAACAGCUAUAGCGAGGCACCAUUUUGAGAGCCUCACCCUGAGGCUGCAUCCUGUUCUGAAGCCCAGCAGACCCUGAAUCUCCACAACCCUGUAGUUUCAUUGACAUGCCCUGCCUGCAGCCACGGCCAAAGCAUAAGCCAUUGGCAGCAACCCUGCUGCCCCUGGCAACAGGGCCACUGUGCAUUUACAAGUGCUCCGAGGAAAGGCUUCCCCACUUGAAGCUGUCACCUGGGACUGAAAUGUGUACUCCCCAGCUGCCGGUUUAUAACUGUUGCCACUGAAAGCAACCCUGCUCUUCUCUGCAGCAGGGUCACAGCACAGAAGCUUGUACCACACAACCAGUCAUGUUGCCAGGAGCACCUGGAGGUCCAGGAAUUGGCCCAUCUGAAACUGCUAACAUUGGUGGCAGUGUACGCUAACUCUGGGGCCCAGGGAUAGGCACGCUCAGCCUGCCACUGCCACCUCUGGGCUCUGAGGACUGACCCAUCUGAUGUCCCUGUCCAGCAAAAUUACCACAGCCUCCACUAAAAAUUAUGCCCUAAACCCCUGAGGAUAUCACAGACACUAUUCAUGCUGUUUAUAGCCAAAUAAAUCAAAUGAAGAUUACUACUGCAUGUACCCAGAAUCAAAGCCAAAUUAUGCUGCCCAACCAAUACCACAGAUGCAUCUUCAGGAAAGUCCCCUCCUACAAAAGCAAAUUCAAAAAAAUGGAAAGACAUGACUGUUACACCAGAUGUGCAGACAUCAGUGUAAAAAUACAAAAAAAAAAAAAAAAAAAAAGAGAGAAAGCAAGGAAAUGUGACGUCUCCAAAGAAUCACAAUAAUUCUCUAGCAACAGAUUCUAAAGAAAAACAAAUUAUGAAAUCCCUGGAAAAGAAUGAAACAUAAUGAUAUUAAAGAAGUUCAGUGGCAUACAAGAAAACUCAGAAAAACAAUACAAAGAAAGCAGAAAAAAAAGUCAGGAUGUGCAUGAGAACUUUACCAGUGAUCGGUAUCAUAAAAAUGAAACCAACAGAAAUUUUGGAGCUUAAGUAACCAUUGAAUAAAAUACAAGAUACAUUCAAAAGCUUCAAAAAUGGACUAGAUGAAGAAGAAAUAAUUUUAGAACCUGAAGGCAGGUCUUUUGAAAUAAUCUAGUCAGACUGAAACAAAACAAAACAAAACAAAAAAAGAAAUAACAAAGUCUAUGUGACAUAUGGGACACUAUAAAGCAACCAAAUAUCCAAAUAUUUGGUGUCCCAGAAGGUGAAGAGAAUAUGAAAACAAUAGAAAGCCUAUUAAAUGAAAUAAUAGUUGAAAAUCUCCCAAGUUUAGCAAGAGGCAGAAGAUUGCUUGAGCCCAGGAGGUCAAGGAUGCAGUGAGCUAUGAUCAUACAAUUGUAUUCCAUAGCCUAGGUGAGAGAGGGAGAUUCUGUCUCAAAAAAUAAAAAGAAAAAAACAAAAGAAUCAAGCUAUGUCCAUUAAUGGAUGAAUGGGUAAAGAAAAUGUGAGGCCGGGCACAGUGGCUCACACCUGUAAUCACAGCACUUUGGGAGGCUGCGGCAGGUGGAUCACUUGACCUCAGGAGUUGGAAACCAGCCUGUGCAACGUGAUGAAACCACACUUCUACCAAAAGAUACCAAAAUUAGCUGAGUAUGGUGGCAUGCACCUGCAUUCCCAACUACUCAGAAGGCUGAGGUGGGAGAAUCGCUUGAACCCAGGAGGCGGAGUUUGCAGUGAGCCGAGAUCGCGCCACUGCACUCCAGCCUGGGCGACAGAGCGAGACUCCAUCUCCAAAGGAAAAAAAAAAAAAAAAAAGAAAGAAAAUAAAAUGUGGUAUAUAUACACAAUGGAAUACCAUUCAGCCACAAAAAAGAAUGAAAUUCUGUCAUUUGCAGCAAUAAAGAUGAGCUGAAGGUCGUUAUGUUAAGUGAAAUAAGCCAGGCACAGAAAGACAAAUAUUGCAUGUUUUCACUCAUACGCAGGAGCUAAUAAGGUUGAUCAUAUGGAAGUAGAUAGUAGAAUGAUAGUUACCAGAGGCUGGGAGGAGUAGGUGGGUGGCUGUGGCGGUGAAGAGAGGAUGGUUAAUUAGUAUAAACAUACAGUCAGAAGGAAUAAAUUCUAAUAUUUGAAUUGUAAUAUUCUAAUACAAGUGUAACAUGACUAUAGUUAACAAAAACCUAUUGUAUAUUUCAAAACAGAAGAGAGGACUUGAAAUGUUCCCUACAUACAAAAAAAGAUAGCUACUUGAGGUGAUGGAUACCUUAGAUUUGAUCAUUACACAUUCUAUGCGUGUAACAAAAUAUCACAUGUAACCUAUAAAUAUGUACAAAUAUUGUGUUAAAAAUACAUAAUAUGUGUAUUAAGGAGAAGAUAAUGUUUAACAAUUAAUAUAAUAAGAGGUAUACCACAAAGAUUAACACAAUAAAAAUAUGUAAGUCAGGAAUCAAUAUUAUUCUUAAAAAAAGAUAAUUAGUAAAAAAAAUCUUUGAAAAUAGAAUAAAUGAAUAUCUUUUUUACUAUUAUUUAACUUUAUAAUCAAAAUUUUUUGUUUGUUUAUUUUAUGAGACAGGGUCUCACUCUGUCUCCCAUGGCGGAGUGCAGUGGUGCAAUCUCAGCCCACUCCAACCUCUGCCUCCCAGGUUCAAGCAAUCCUCCCCCACCCUCAUCCUCCUGGGUAGCUGGGACUACACGUGUGCACUACCACACCCAGCUAAUUUUUGUAUUUUUUGUAGAGAUGGGGUUUUGCCAUGUUGCCCAGUCUGUCUGGUCUUGGACUCCUGAGUUCAAGUGAUCCACCCGCCUCAGCCUCCCAUAGUGCUGCAAUUACAGGUGUGAGCCAUUGCACCCAGCCUCAAAGUUUUAAUUAACAUAAUUUUUUGAAACAUUUGUAACAUUAUAUUUUCUUUUUCAAUUUUUAUGUCUUUUUCUUAAAAUACAUUAUCAUGCAAAUAGUUGCAUGUGCAUGGGUGCACAGAUGUAUGUAUUAUGAGCCAAAAACCAAGUCUCAGUAAUUUUAAAAGAAAUCAAGUGAAACAAUUUAUGCUCUCUGAUCACAAUUGAAUUAAAUUAUAAAUUAUAAAUCAACACUAAGAAUAAAUGGAGAAAUGUUCUCUAUUCAUGUGUGUGCAGACUCAAUAAUGUUAAGGUACCAAUAUCUUCAACUUGAUAUCUGGAUUCCAAGUAAUCACGAUUAUAAGUCACAAUGCAGGGUUUUUUUUAAGAAAUUAAUAUAAUUUGUAUAUAAGUAUAAUGAAAUGAGAAGAGCCACAAUAACAAAUAAUAAAAAGAUGAAAAAAGAUGAACAAAGUUGAAGGACUUACAAGCUCAAGACUUCUUAUAAAGCCAUAUUAAAAAAGACAGUGUGGUAUUGGUGUAGACAGACAAAUGGUCAAGGAAGAAGAGAACCCACACAUGUAUAGACAACUAACUAGCAACGAAUUUGCAAAUGCAAUUCAGCAGAGAAAUGAGUCUCUUUAACAAAUUGUGCUGGAAAAGUUGGAUAUAUGCAAUAAUGUGAAUUUUGAUCUAUGUUUUGUAUCAUAUAAAAAUAAUUAAAAAUGGAUCCUAGACAUAACGUAAAACCAAAAACUAUAAAACAUCUAGAAGUAAACCUUAGUGACCUUGGGUUAGGUAAAGAUUUUUUAUGUAUCACAACAAAGUCACAGUCUACAAAAGAACAGAUUGAUACUAUGAACUUCAUCAAAAUGAAAAUUUCUGUCUUUUAAUAGAUAUUGUUAAAAGAGUUGACAAUUAAGUCAUGGAUUGCGAGAAUGUCAUCUAUGUGAUAUCAUCUAUGUGAUAAAGGAUUUGUUCCUAGAAUAUAUAAGUAACUCUCGGAACUCAAUAACAUGAAAAUAACCCAAGAAAAAACCUGGCAAAAUACUGUUAUACCAAGGAAGAUAUAUGGAGAGUACAUAACCAUGUGAACAGAAGCUUAAUAUCAUUCAUCAUUAGGAAAAUGCAAGUCAAAACCAAAAUGAGAGAUUAUGAUAUCUAUUAGAAUGGCACAAAUUAAAAAGCUGACCAUACCAAGUAUUCGCAAAGAUAUGGAAAAAAACUGGAAUUGUCUUUUUCUUUUUUGACAUAGAGUCUCGCUCUAUCACUCAGGCUGAAGUGCAGAGGUGUGACUGUAUCUCCCUGCAGCUUCAACUUUCCAGGCUCACAGGAUCCUCCUGCCUCAGCUUCCUGAGUAGCUGGGACUAUAAGCACAUGCCACCAUGCCUGGCUACUUUAAAAAAUAAAAUGUAGGCCGCGUGCAAUGGCGCAUGCCUGUAAUCUCAGCACUUUGGGAGGCUGUGAGUGGAUCACCUGAGGUCAGGAGUUCGAGACCAGCCUGACUAAUAUGAUGAAACCCUGUCUCUACUAAAUACAAAAAAUAAAAUUAGCUGGGCGUGGUGGCACAUGCCUGUAAUCCUAGCUACUCAAGAGGCUGAGGCAGGAGAAUUGCUUGAACCUGGGAGGUGGAGGUGCAGUGAGCUGAGAUGGUGCCAUCGCACUCCAGCCUGGGCAACAAGAGCGAAACUCCGUCUAAAAAAAAAAAAAAAAAUUAGUAGAGACAAGGUCUCUCUAUGUUGCCUAGAAUGAUGGAAUUUUCAUACCUUACUAUUGAAAAUAUAAACUGCUAUAACUACUUUGAAAAAUAGUUUAGAAGUUUCUUUAAAUAUUCAAUAUAAACCUAGCAUGAUUAAUCUGUUUCAUUUCUAGCUAAUGUCCUUGCAAAGACUUGUACAUGAAUGUUCAUGGCAGCUUUAUUUGUAUUAGUCAUGACUUAGGGUUAUCAGACUAAAAAAGUGCAUAUAGUUAAAUAUGAAUUUCAGAUGAACCACAGAAAAUUUUCAUUGUAAGAAUGUUCUGUGCAACAUUUGGGAAAUAAAUAUACUAAUGGUUUUUUUUUUUUUUUUUUUUUUGACAGAGUUUUGCUCUUGCUGCUUAGACUGGAGUGCAAUGGCAUGAUCUCAGCUCACCGCAACCUCUGCCUCCUGGAUUCAAAUGAUUCUCCCGCCUCAGCCUCCCGAGUAGCUGGAAUUGCAGGCAUGUACCACCAUGCCUGGCUAAUUUUGUAUUUUUAGUAGAGACAGGGUUUCUCCAUGUUGGUCAAGCUGGUCUUCAACUCCCGACCUUAGGUGAUCCACCUGCCUCAGCCUCCCAAAGUGCUGGGAUUACAGGCGUGAGCCACUGCACCCGGCAAUACUAAUGGUUUAUCCAAGUAUCUGCUUAUCUGAAAUUCAAAUAUCACUGAGCUUAGCAUUUUCAACAAUGUAGAUGAUCAUAGAAGACAUUAUGCUAAUUGAAAGAAGCCAGUCACAGAAGGACAAAUACUGCAUGAUUCUACUUACCUGACUUAUCUUAAAUAGUCGAAAUCGUUGAAGCAGAGAAUAGACUGGUGGUUGCCAGGGGCUGAAGGGAAGGAGGAAAUGUGGAAUUGUUGCACAACUGGUAUAAAGUUUCAGUUAUACAAUGUGACUAAGUUUUCAAGCUCUGCUAUACAACAUUGUACUUAUAGUUAACAAUAUGGUAUUAUGUACCUUAAAAUAUAAAGAGAAUAGAUCUAUUGUUGAGUAUUCUUACCACAAACAAACCAAAAACUUACAGAAGAACACAAGAACAUUUUUGUAGGUGAUAAAUAGGUUGAGUAGCUUGAUUGUGGUGAUAUAGUGAGUAUAUGGUAUAUGCAUAUGUCCAAACUCUUCAAAAUGCAUAUAUUAAAUAUGUACAAUUUUCAUAUAUUAACUAUAUACUAAAAGCUUAUAUAUAUAAAUAUAGCUUAAGAAAAAUAUUGCAUUUCUAAGUUUUGUUAGAAAAAUUUCAAUUACUCAUAGAGGUACUAGUUUCACUCUUAAUUAUGUGCAGUGUAUUUUAUUAUCCAUAGGAUACUAUUGGAGGCUCACCAACUCUAAAUUGUUCAUGCAUAGUUCCUAUCACUACCAUUUUCAAAUACCAAGUAGAAAAGACCUACAUGAGUGAUGUAUUAAACAAAGAAAUAAACAAUCCACAAACAUUUCUUGAGUAUCUAUUAUAGAAACAGCAUCCAAGGAAAUAAUUGGAUAAAGAAUAGGAAAGGUUUUUGUUUGUCGGUUUGUUUUUAUCUUCCGGAUACAUAAUAAAUUACUUGUCAGUUUUCUGUCAAGAAAUCUAUUAAGCCAAAAGGUUGUAAGAAUGCACUGAGUUGGUUGUGAGGGUGGUAGCAAAUAAUCUUACAAGAAAAAUUUUAAGACAAAAUAGAAAGAAUGAAUGGCAAAUUUACAAAUUUAGAGAUUGCUUAAGAUUUGUUCCAAUAAUGAAUAAAUAAAAGUAAAUUAAAAUGAAAGUUUAAAAACAAAACAAAUUUAACUGGUUACACUGUUUUAUUUUUUUCUCCUAAUUCUGGCAACCCUAUGCCCAUUAAUAGGAAAAUUUGAUAUUUUUGUGCAUUGUAUCACUACAAACGAAUAAAAAGAAUAAACUAUUGAUAUAUUCAAUAACACAAAUAAAUCUCAAAAUAAUUAUUGAGUGAAAAAAGCCAGAGAAAAAUCAAUGGUAGUAUAAUUCUAUUUACAUAAAAUUCUAUGAAAUGAAAAGUAAUGGACAGUGACAGAAAGCAGAUUAGUGGUUGCCAAGGAAUGGGAGAAGGGGCAUAGUGCAGGUGCAGAUAGUUAUUACAAGGAGAAAAAAAAUUGGGGGGUUAUUGGUAUGUUCAUUAUCUCAAUUGUGGUGCUGAUUUUCACAGGUGUAUACCUAUGUUUAAACUCAUCAAAUUAUACAUUUUAAAUGAAUGCACAUUAUUUUAUGGCAAUAGUCUCUUAAAGUUAGUUUUAAGUAAAUAAAAAUUCAAAAAGAAGAAAAUAAAAAUAAAAUUUAAAAUUCAAUAACAUUCUUACUUGUUAAAGGUAGGUAAAGAAAGUUAAAAACUAAAUGUAUAUAAAUAAAGAGGUGUGGUUUUUAUAUAAAAAUACACAUAUUCUCAUAUAAAAUAAAUAAUUUAAAUGAACACAUUACUUGUUCAUGAAAGGGAAAAGGCAUUUUGUAGUUUAAUGUAAAUUUCAGCAGCCCGGCAUAGUGGCUCACGCCUGUAAUCCUAGCACUUUGGGAGGCCAAGGCAGGAGGAUACCUUGAGCGCAGGAGUUCGAGAUUGGCCUGAGUAACAUAGGGAGAUCCUAUCUCUGUUAAAAAGUAUAUAAAUAAAUAAAUAAAUUUUAGCAGAAUAAUUAUGAUUUUUUAAAAGUUUAAAUUAUUCUCAAAUCUGUUUAUAAUACCAAGUGUCUAGAAUUCUAAAAUAUUUGUUCAAAGAAGAAAAAUAUGAAGUAUACAGUUAGAGAAAACAAGAUGUUAAAUAUUUUGCAAGAAACUAAGUAAUAAUUUUAUGUUUUCAUUUAACACAAAUACAUUAGACAUAUAUUAUUUGACAGUUAUUCUUGGAGUCACUGCUACAAAAAUAAAAAAUAUGUCAAAGUUACUUUCUUGGGCUCAUAUUCUAUAGGUGGUAAUAGUAAAAAGUAAAUUCAAGAAAACAAUAUAAUUCCUGACAAUGUACAUUACUAUGGCAACAAAAAGGCCAGAAGUAACAGAAGAAAACGGAAGUGAAGUGUAUUAUUCUUCAUAGGAUGUCUGGGUAAGGUCUUUUCGAAGAGGCAAUGCGUGAUUUCAAAUUUGAAUGGAGGAAAGGAGAAAACCACUCACUCUCUGAAGAACAUAAUUUCAGUCCUGGGUAAAAAGUUUGGCAAACUUGAAGACAACCAUGAAGACUACUGAGUUUGAAGCCCAAUCAGUGAGAAAAAGAAAAAAAAAAAUCGUGAGAAAGGAGCUCAGAGAGGUAGUCAGAAACUAGAUUACAAGAUAUCCUACAGGCAAUGAUUGGACUUUGAAUUUUAUUUAUUCUAAGAGUAAUAGGGAAG
This 8534-nucleotide long non-coding RNA is filed under the name Homo sapiens (human). RNAcentral's name for it is "HSALNT0011643". Lineage: Eukaryota; Metazoa; Chordata; Mammalia; Primates; Hominidae. The record is from RNAcentral.